GUUAUGUUAGUACUCAAGGUACUCUCUUCUUCGAGAUGAGAAUAGGCUUUAACCAACUCGCCUGCAUCGAC
This 71-nucleotide transfer RNA is filed under the name Neolamarckia cadamba. RNAcentral's name for it is "tRNA-Arg". The record is from RNAcentral. Lineage: Eukaryota; Viridiplantae; Streptophyta; Magnoliopsida; Gentianales; Rubiaceae.